Molecule: long non-coding RNA, 2010 nt
Organism: Astatotilapia calliptera (eastern happy)
Lineage: Eukaryota; Metazoa; Chordata; Actinopteri; Cichliformes; Cichlidae
Source: Ensembl
UUUAAGUGUGUAUUUAUGUCUUGUAUUGCUGGUAAGUAACUUUCUUGCACUGAGGUCUGUUUGUUGCAAAUAUCUUUGAUCUGUUUUUUUGUCUUAUAAUGUUUAUGUGUGUAUUUAUGUCUUGUAAUGUUUAUGUGUGUAUUUAUGUCUUAUAAUGUUUAUGUGUGUAUUUAUGUCUUGUAAUGUUUAUGUGUUUAAUUAUGUCUUGUAUUGCUGGUGAGUAACUUCCUUACACUGAGGUCUGGUUAUUGCAAAUAUCUUUGACUUGUUUUUAUGUCUUAUAAUGUUUAUGUGUGUAUUUAUGUCUUGUAUUGCUGGUAAGUAACUUUCUUGCACUGAGGUCUGUUUAUUGCAAAUAUCUUUGACUUGUUUUUAUGUCUUAUAAUGUUUAUGUGUGUAUUUAUGUCUUGUAUUGCUGGUAAGUAACUUUCUUGCACUGAGGUCUGUUUAUUGCAAAUAUCUUUGACUUGUUUUUAUGUCUUAUAAUGUUUAUGUGUGUAUUUAUGUCUUAUAAUGUUUAUGUGUGUAUUUAUGUCUUAUAAUGUUUAUGUGUGUAUUUAUGUCUUGUAUUGCUGGUAAGUAACUUUCUUGCACUGAGGUCUGUUUAUUGCAAAUAUCUUUGACUUGUUUUUAUGUCUUAUAAUGUUUAUAUGUGUAUUUAUGUCUUAUAUUGCUGGUAAGUAACUUUCUUGCACUGAGGUCUGUUCAUUGCAAAUAUCUUUGACCUGUUUUUAUGUCUUAUAAUGUUUAUAUGUGUAUUUAUGUCUUAUAUUGCUGGUAAGUAACUUUCUUGCACUGAGGUCUGUUUAUUGCAAAUAUCUUUGACUUGUUUUUAUGUCUUAUAAUGUUUAUGUGUGUAUUUAUGUCUUGUAUUGCUGGUAAGUAACUUUCUUGCACUGAGGUCUGAUUAUUGCAAAUAUCUUUGACUUGUUUUUAUGUCUUAUAAUGUUUAUGUGUGUAUUUAUGUCUUGUAUUGCUGGUAAGUAACUUUCUUGCACUGAGGUCUGAUUAUUGCAAAUAUCUUUGACUUGUUUUUAUGUCUUAUAAUGUUUAUGUGUGUAUUUAUGUCUUGUAUUGCUGGUAAGUAACUUUCUUACACUGAGGUCUGUUUAUUGCAAAUAUCUUUGAUCUGUUUUUUUGUCUUGUAAUGUUUAUGUGUGUAUUUAUGUCUUGUAUUGCUGGUAAGUAACUUUCUUGCACUGAGGUCUGUUUAUUGCAAAUAUCUUUGACUUGUUUUUAUGUCUUAUAAUGUUUAUGUGUGUAUGUAUGUCUUAUAAUGUUUAUGUGUGUAUUUAUGUCUUGUAUUGCUGGUAAGUAACUUUCUUGCACUGAGGUCUGAUUAUUGCAAAUAUCUUUGACUUGUUUUUAUGUCUUAUAAUGUUUAUGUGUGUAUUUAUGUCUUGUAUUGCUGGUAAGUAACUUUCUUGCACUGAGGUCUGUUUAUUGCAAAUAUCUUUGACCUGUUUUUAUGUCUUAUAAUGUUUAUGUGUGUAUUUAUGUCUUGUAUUGCUGGUAAGUAACUUUCUUGCACUGAGGUCUGAUUAUUGCAAAUAUCUUUGACUUGUUUUUAUGUCUUAUAAUGUUUAUGUGUGUAUUUAUGUCUUGUAUUUCUGGUAAGUAACUUUCUUGCACUGAGGUCUGAUUAUUGCAAAUAUCUUUGACUUGUUUUUAUGUCUUAUAAUGUUUAUGUGUGUAUUUAUGUCUUAUAUUGCUGUUAAAUGUGUAUUUAUGUCUUGUAUUGCUGGUAAGUAACUUUCUUGCACUGAGGUCUGUUUGUUGCAAAUAUCUUUGACUUGUUUUUAUGUCUUAUAAUGUUUAUGUGUGUAUUUAUGUCUUAUAUUGCUGUUAAAUGUGUAAUUAUGUCUUGUGUUGCUGGUAAGUAACUUUCUUGCACUGAGGUCUGUUUGUUGCAAAUAUCUUUGAUCUGUUUUUUUUUCUUAUAAUGUUUAUAUUUGUAUUUAUGUCUUAUAAUGUUUAUGUGUGUAUUUAUGUCUUAUAAUGUUUAUGUGU